CGUGCAGGCGGUCAAGUAAGUGGAAUGUGAAAGCCCCCGGCUUACCCGGGGAUCUGCAUCCCAAACUGCUUGGCUUGAGUACGGGAGAGGAUGAGGGAAUCCUGGUGUAGCGGUGAAAUGCGUAGAUAUCAGGAGGAACACCGGUGGCGAAGGCGCUCAUCUGGCCCGAUACUGACGCUGAGGCGCGAAAGCUAGGGAGGCAAACG
This 206-nucleotide ribosomal RNA is filed under the name uncultured bacterium. Its description in RNAcentral is "partial 16S ribosomal RNA". It matches the Rfam family "Bacterial small subunit ribosomal RNA", at positions 568 to 774 of the family's 1533-position model. The record is from RNAcentral.